UGAGAUGUUGUAACUUAAAGUUGCCAGGAA
Molecule: non-coding RNA, 30 nt
Filed under: Mus musculus (house mouse)
Lineage: Eukaryota; Metazoa; Chordata; Mammalia; Rodentia; Muridae
Source: RNAcentral